UGACAGGAAUCUCAUUCUCUGUUCCUCAA
This 29-nucleotide non-coding RNA is filed under the name Rattus norvegicus (Norway rat). The record is from RNAcentral. Lineage: Eukaryota; Metazoa; Chordata; Mammalia; Rodentia; Muridae.